AAUCAACGCUGGCGGCGUGCCUCAGACAUGCAAGUCGAACGAGAAAGUCCCCUUCGGGGGAUAAGUAAAGUGGCGCACGGGUGAGUAACACGUAGGUAAUCUACCUUCGGGUGGGGAAUAACCCAGGGAAACUUGGGCUAACACCGCAUAAUGCAGCGGCACCACAUGGUGACAGUUGUUAAAGCGGGGGAUUUUCGGACCUCGCGCCUGAAGAGGAGCCUGCGGCGGAUUAGCUAGNGGUAAGGUAACGGCUUACCAAGGCGACGAUCCGUAGCCGGCCUGAGAGGGGCGGUCGGGCCACACUGACACUGACAUACGGGUCAGACUCCUACGGGAGGCAGCAGUCGGGAAUUUUGGGCAAUGGGCGAAAGCCUGACCCAGCAACGCCGCGUGAAGGAUGAAAUCCCUCGGGAUGUAAACUUCGCAAGAAUGGGAAGAAUUAGCGAGCGCUAAUACCGCUCGUGAUGACGGUACCAUUUGUAAGCUCCGGCUAACU
RNAcentral lists this ribosomal RNA (496 nucleotides) under uncultured bacterium. RNAcentral's name for it is "bacterial SSU rRNA". It matches the Rfam family "Bacterial small subunit ribosomal RNA", at positions 32 to 502 of the family's 1533-position model. The record is from RNAcentral.